Molecule: ribosomal RNA, 270 nt
Filed under: uncultured bacterium
Lineage: Bacteria
Description: partial 16S ribosomal RNA
Rfam family: Bacterial small subunit ribosomal RNA
Source: RNAcentral
GACGAACGCUGGCGGCGUGCUUAACACAUGCAAGUCGAGCGGUAAGGCCCUUUCGGGGGUACACGAGCGGCGAACGGGUGAGUAACACGUGGGUGACCUGCCCUCAGCUCUGGGAUAAGCCCGGGAAACUGGGUCUAAUACCGGAUAUGACUCCAUGACGCAUGUUGUGGGGUGGAAAGCCUUGUGCGGCUGAGGAUGGGCCCGCGGCCUAUCAGCUUGUUGGUGGGGUGAUGGCCUACAAGGCGACGACGGGUAGCCGGCCUGAGAGGG